GAAAAAGAAAAAAUGGGGUCACCGGACUCGUUUUCUUGCUACAUGUAAAAAUGGGUAAAUUCCUAACACAUUCUAUUGUAAAAGUAACACUAUCCGGAUUAUCUGCCCUUGCAUUUGAGUUGCUUCCCCUUAUUUGACAAAGUUGGAAAAAAAUUAAUCAAACAACAGAAUUCUUAUUUUUGUAAAAUACAAUCAUAAAUAUGAUCAAACAUGGCAUUUUCUAUAUUAAAAUGAAAAUUCUUACACAUGAAUUACCUACUAUUAUAAAAAUUUGCACAUUUCAUCAAAGAUCUAGACCUUGUUUUC
RNAcentral lists this long non-coding RNA (306 nucleotides) under Mytilus galloprovincialis (Mediterranean mussel). Lineage: Eukaryota; Metazoa; Mollusca; Bivalvia; Mytilida; Mytilidae. The record is from RNAcentral.